GGGGGAUUAGCUCAGCUGGGAGAGCACCUGCUUUGCAAGCAGGAGGUCAUCGGUUCGAUCCCGAUAUCCUCCA
This 73-nucleotide transfer RNA is filed under the name Limosilactobacillus equigenerosi DSM 18793 = JCM 14505. RNAcentral describes it as "Lactobacillus equigenerosi DSM 18793 = JCM 14505 tRNA". It matches the Rfam family "tRNA". From Rfam's summary of the family: Transfer RNA (tRNA) molecules are approximately 80 nucleotides in length. Their secondary structure includes four short double-helical elements and three loops (D, anti-codon, and T loops). Lineage: Bacteria; Bacillati; Bacillota; Bacilli; Lactobacillales; Lactobacillaceae. The record is from Rfam by way of RNAcentral.